This 394-nucleotide ribosomal RNA is filed under the name uncultured Bacteroidota bacterium. RNAcentral describes it as "bacterial SSU rRNA". It matches the Rfam family "Bacterial small subunit ribosomal RNA", at positions 90 to 483 of the family's 1533-position model. Lineage: Bacteria; Pseudomonadati; Bacteroidota. The record is from RNAcentral.
GACAAGUGGCGCACGGGUGCGUAACGCGUAUGCAAUCUACCUUUAACUGAGGAAUAGCCCAGAGAAAUUUGGAUUAAUACCUCAUAGUAUUAUUUAUAGGCAUCUAUUUAUAAUUAAAACUCCGGUGGUUAAAGAUGAGCAUGCGUCCUAUUAGCUAGUUGGUAAGGUAAAAGCUUACCAAGGCUACGAUAGGUAGGGGGCCUGAGAGGGUGACCCCCCACACUGGUACUGAGACACGGACCAGACUCCUACGGGAGGCAGCAGUGAGGAAUAUUGCGCAAUGGAGGAAACUCUGACGCAGCCAUGCCGCGUGCAGGAUGAAUGCCCUAUGGGUUGUAAACUGCUUUUCUGCAAGAAGAAACCUUAGUACGUGUACUAAGCUGACGGUAUGCAG